CGUGUGUGUGUGUGUGUGUGUGUGUGUGUGUGUGUGUUUCACUCUCUAAAUUCUUCAAGGCUCUGAAUCCAGUUUGCAUAUUGAGCUUCCAGGAACUAUUUUCAACUUCCAAGGGCAUUUGAGCAUGAAGAACACAUUUCUUGAUGUCUUUAGCUACAAAUUGGCACGCAGCUGGGCUUGCAGUAGCAUCAUGAGGAGGGGGCCAACAUCUUAAAUCCGCUGUUUAUUACCCAGGAAGUUCUGAUCAAGUUUAUGGUUCUAAAGACUUCAACAUAUCAACUCCACUGAAGAACAGGACAAGCUAUUGUAAAUAUGAACCAUCAAAGCACCAGCCAUUUCAAUGAAAUGAAGCAAAUCAAUUGUUUUUCGCAAAGGUGCCUUUCAGAUCUCCUUUUUCAGGUUCUCCAUUACUUUAUUGGUUUCAGCGUUUUUUGUAUGUUAGGCUAUUGAAUGAAAAUAAACUAACUGAAAGGGUCUCCCUCCCCUAAUUAAACUUCCGGAGAUCAUUUGUCUCAUUAUGGCACCUUGACACGUUUUACUUGACCAAAAUGAGUGGAGUUACCUUGAAAUGUUGCAGACAGAGGCACACCUCAAAGAUCACAAUCUUGCAGAAUAAUGUCCUGCACGUCACUUUGAAUUUUCUCCUCCUGGUGAGGGAAAGCUGAAAAACAAAAAAAGGAAGAGAAGUAAUGAACAGUGUUUGAGGAAUCUGAAACCUUUCAAUGGGGAGAAAGUGUCCAGCUGGUUCAUCAGGUUUUCUUCACAUAGGAAUAUCACUGAUUUCCCUCACUAAGGAGGCAUUGAUGCCUUCUGUGACAUCAGUAGCCAUUCCAACAAUCGCCACAUACAAAUCAAACCUAUUUAGUCAAGGUACGGUAUGUAUGCAUUCGCCCUGCCUGUACCCCAAAUAGUGAAGCAAAUUAGGAUGAUUUGGGGUGGUCUUUCAGGUUAUUGAGUGGCUUCAUACUGUUAAAAAGAGGUGUGAAGGUGGAUCCGCGAGCACCCAACCUUCCAAGUAGCUCUGCUGCCUCAGUUUUCCCAUGAAGUUAAAUAUAUUGCAGAUUCUCCCCACUCCACCCCCAAUUUCUUUUCUUUUCUUUUCUGAGAAAUUAAGCCAAGCUGAGUGGGGAAUGCCCAGAGAUUGAGGGGGAAGGGUCCUCUCCAUCCAGCCCAGAGCUGCAAUGGUCCUCUACAUUCUUUAGAGAUCACCCCUUCUCAAGGCUGGCCCAACUGUGAAGCAAAAUGGGCUAAUUCUCUCCGGCCAGAGGUGCAUGGAUGGGAGAAGUGAAUUAGCCCUCACAUGCCUCAGAAUUGGCUGUCCUGUUUUACAAUUGGCUGGCCAACCUGCUUGCUCUCCUGCAGUGGCCAGCAUAAUCAGCAGCCUAACCGCUGAGGCAAGAUGAGACUGGCUGCUGCCCCCUCAACUCCCCUCUCUGAGGAAGUGCGAAUGGGCUUGUAAUUCUGAGCAAGAUGGCCAUGAUUGUGCCUCAACUGUUGCAGAGGUUCGUUGCCACAGCUAAAAAUACAAUUAAAGCUUUUUUUAAAAAGAAGAAGAUGUUGUAAAUAUUGUUCAUAGAAUUGUAAAGGUGGAAGGGACCACGAGGAUCAUCUACCGUAUUUUUCGCUCUAUAAGAUGCACCAGACUCACCUAGUUUUUGGAGGAGGAAAACAAGAAGGAAAAAAAUUCUGAAUCUCAGAAGCCAGAACAGCAAGAGGGGUCACUGCACAGUGAAAGCAGCAAUCCCUCUUGCUGUUCUGGCUUUUGGGAUAGCUGCGCAGCCUGCAUUCGCUCCAUAAGAUGCGAACACAUUUCCCCUUACUUUUUAGGAGGGAAAAAGUGAGUCUUAUAGAGCAAAAAAUACGGUAAGUCCAACCCCCUACCAACUUUGAAGCAACUUUUAAAUGGAGCCUAAAUGGGAUUUGUGGCCACAGUUUUAAUAGUAUUAAAAUGACAUUUAAUGACACUUCUGUAGCAGCAGCAGUGCAGGGAGUCACCCAGUCACCUUGCCCAGAAAGAUCCCUUUGGUUCCUUCUCGGUGUGAUGUGGGGGGGCGGGGAGGUUGAGAAGGUGACAGAGAAAACUCUUGUGCUGCCACCAGCAAUGAAACAACAAAACAAAAUGUGGCUGGGGAGGAGAGAUUGAUUGCUGGGCCACUCUGGGAAUAGUAGCUCUGGGAGGGGAAUGCAUACUUUUAGGCGCCAACCGAGGUUUGACUGUAUAUAGAUUUAAAUAAAUAAGUAAAACAGGGUUCUCCUAACAAUUUCCAGCACCUUUAGCAAACUACAGCUCCCAUAAUUCUUUGGGAGAAGCCAUGAUGGUUUAAAGUGGUGUCACGGUGCUUUAAAUGCAUGGUGCCCCAUCACUGGAAGUUGAUUGAAUUACAUGGCAAGUCACCACGUUAUGUUGCAUUGUAUCAUGGCAAAAUAAUAUAAACUAUCUUGGAGAUCGUUUGACUAGAAAGCUGAGAUAUAAAUCCUCAAAAUACACAAAUAAAUGCAUGUUAUUACCUAGGACGACAUGGUGAGAUCAAAAUGCAUUUCUGGUCUGGAGAAUCCCCUCUAGUCCUGUAUUUUAGGUUAUAAGGCAAUCAAUUUCUUCUUGGGAAAAAGAGAGAGAGAGAUCCAGGCUGAAAGAAGAACUAACUAGGCAAAAUAAUGGCUCCUGAAGUUGAGAUGCAAUUAUAAGCCUCUUCUUGGCCUCAAACAUAUUAUGCUACUAGCAUGUUCUCCUCCCGUUCACCUGCUGCAGGGGAGGAUGCUAAAUUGCUUUCUUGUUUGUAUUUUGGUAUGGUGCUCGUCUCUUUAUUACUAAAAGCCCUCCAUUGAUUCAGCUCCCCCCCCCUUUCCCGCAUUCUCCCUGUGGCACAUGCAUUAGGCAAGGCUAAGUGGAUAAUGGAGCAAGAACAAUCAUAAGGAUAAUGGUGGGUUACAGAAACAAUUAUGUAAGGAAUAACACAUGACAGGUGAUCUAAUCCAAAAUAUAUAGGCUUGCUGCCAUCUCCGCGGGAAAAUUAUGAGAUUCUGGGACAAAGGGCAACUGCAUUUCACCAGGCACACCCAGCAUGUUUGUGUUAACAUCAGCUACUGUUUAUCCGUCACACGGGAGUAUUCUUAUUAUUACUGUUAUUAAUAUUGUGCAUGCAUUUACAUUCCUAUCUCAAGAGUGCAGGAGGAGCCCUGCUAGUACAAACUAAAAAAAGCUGAUAUAGGCCACAUUCACACCACACAUUUAAAGUGCGAUGGUACGACUUUAAAGAUGCCUGCCUUCCCCCAAAGUAUCCUGGGAGCUAUAGUUCAGGCAUAGGCAAACUCAGCCCUCCAGAGGUUUUGGGACUACAACUCCCACCAUCCCUAGCUAACAGGACCAGUGGCCAGGGAUGAUGGGAACUGUAGUCUCAAAACAUCUGGAGGGCCAAGGUUGAGGAAGCUUGAUGCAGGAUAACCUCAGCCUUUCAGGCUGAUUGAAAACAACAGCAUACAGAACAAAACCAAGUUUGCCUAUGCCUGCUGUAGUUUGUUAAGGGUGCUGAGAGUUGUUAGGGCACCCCUUUCCCCCACACAGAGCUGUGGGGGAAAGGGGAGUCCUAUCAGCACGAGCCAACUGUCAGGGAUAGUCCUGCAACAUCUGGAAGACCACAGGUACCCCAAUGCUGCCUUCAGCCAGGCUUCCUCAACCUCGGCCCUCCAGAUGUUUUGAGACUACAAUUCCCAGCAUCUCUGACCACUGGUCCUGCCAGCUAGGGAACAUGGGAGUUGUAGGCUGUAAACAUCUGAAGGGCCAAGGUUGAGGAAGCCUGCCUUAAGCUCUGUAAGGGCACUUUUCAGUAAAGUCAGACUUGAUUGCUGGGUGAAAUGGAAAAGUUGUAGCACCAGUUUAUAGGCAACAGCUUCAACUGCAUUUAAUUCCUGUUGGGCAGUCAGAUGUAAUGCUCUUUCGGAGUCCUGACAGAAUAAUUUUUACACCAGCCCCCACCCCCAUCUCACCAAUUGCCUCCCUGGCAAAGUGCCACCUGCUCGCCUGGAAUAAGGGCCCCCAUGGCGUGUCGUUUCAGGGCUUUGUGGGAAACUAAAAGGGCAAGCACCUUGCAGCCUCCUGCCAACUGAGGUAAAUUCCAAGCCCGGGGAAGCAGGCAGGCUGGCCCAAGGCAGCACAGGCAGCAGCAUCCGUGGAGGGUUGGCAGCUGCCCAAAGAUGCCCACGCUUCCUGAAACUACAGCAGUGCAAGUGCUAAGGAUCUGGCCCAACUGCUGCUAAAGCAGGACCCUGGGAUCAGAGAGCAGGGCCUGCUGAGAAACAUGGACGCCUUCCAGAAUUAUGAGAAAUGGCUGUAAGCAAAUUUGUAACCUCUUACAAAGCGAUGCAAGGGGAUACUGGGGUGGGGUGGAGAACCUCAGGCCUGGGGGAUGAAUGCUGCUGUGUAGUCCUCAUAACACUCCCUAGGCCACACACUCUCUUGUCCAGGCCUGUUUCACCUCCCAAGGGUUUUUGGCUGGCUGCAAUGGGUCCUUGAGCUCUGAUAUUGCUUCCUGUGUGCCUGGAUAGAGGGUACAGAGUGUGUGUGUGUUUGUAGAAACUAGUACAAAGGCAAAUUUUACAUUUGUUGCUCCACCCACUUUUGCCUCUGGCUCCUCCUACCACUGCCAUGUGGCGUCCAAGUGGUUUCUCAGAAUGGAAUGUGGCCCUCGAGCUUCUCCACCCCAGGACUAAUGUAUAUGUACGGAGUAACCAUAAAUGGCCAAGCCAUUCCCUCUAAACCAUGGUCACUUGUCAGUCAGCUGAUGUCAAUGGGUGAUGUCAGUUGAUUGUUGUUGUUUAGUCAUCUAGUCGUGUCCGACUCUUCCUGACCCCAUGGACCAGAGCACACCAGGCACUACUGUCUUCCACUGCCUCCCGCAGCUUGGUCAAACUCAUGCUGGUAGCUUCGAGAACACUAUCCAACCAUCUCGUCCUCUGUCGUCCCCUUCUCCUUGUGCCCUCCAUCUUUCCCAACAUCAGGGUCUUUUCCAGGGAGUCUUCUCUUUUCGUGAGGUGGCCAAAGUAUUGGAGCCUCAGCUUCAGGAUCUGUCCUUCCAGUGAGCACUCAGGGCUGAUUUCCUUAAGAACGGAUAGGUUUGAUCGUCUUGCAGUCUGCAUGGGACUCUCAAGAGUCUCCUCCAGCACCAUAAUUCAAAAGCAUCAAUUCUUUGGCGAUCAGCCUUCUUUAUGGUCCAGCUCUCACUUCCAUACAUGUCAGCAGAUAGUGGGGUUCAAUUCUGCAUUGGCUGUGCAUACCAGUUCCCUGCUUAGAGCCUUGCAGAGAUCAGGCUUGGAGUCUCUGCUCAUCAUCUGAGCACAGAUGCUGAAGCAGACUCAGCUGAAGAGUGGAGCAUUCAGUCCUGCCAGGUGCUGCUUCGCCAGUGUGUUUCUUGCAGGAAAUGUACUGACAAAGCAGGUCAACCUCCCCUCAUCCCUGCAAGUUAACUUUGACAGGUGAGUGGGACUGCCUGACGCCAGAUGAUUGACAAGUGAUUGGCACUGCCUACCUGUGAAAGUUGGCCCAUGAGGUGAGGGGAGAUAAAGAUCUGGUGCACUAGGCCCAAAAGGCCACCCCCACCCCCCAAUAUAGACAGACACUUGGGAUCAGCUCUGACGGACCCAUCACUGAUUCACUCGUAGAGGUAUCAGAAGAGUUGUCAGAAGGGUCCUGUAUGAUCGCUACGCGAGAUAACAAAUCUGAAGGAAAAAAAUAAAGUCCUUCAGUUAAAAAAAAGUUUGUUUAUUCUCCUUUGUAAAAAGUAUUAGGGGCUUAAAAAAAAAUAUUGGUUUCUUUGCCUUCCACCUUGUUUUUGUAAAUCACUCGGGAAGCUCUUUGAACAGAAGUAUCUUCAAUAUUUUUUUAAAAAAAACCUUCGAAAGAGGUCCAGUGCUCAUUGAACCAGACUGGAAUUAUGGGCUGGGGGGGGGGAGGCUUGUACAUUUAUACAUAUCUCCUGCAAAAGGAGGAACAUGAACUACACCCCCAGACGGUUAAUGUACUUUGACAUCAGGUAGAAAACGGCUAUUUGAUAUGCAUGUAGGCUGCACCCACAAGGUAUUAGUGGUAUACCAGCAAUUACUAACAGUUUGCAAAGUGUUCUACACCUGCAAUAUUCUGAAUAUUAUUUUUGUUUCCAAAUGCUUUCAUUUCUGCAGCAGGCUUUAUAGAUAAUGAAAUCUACUACAGGAGAGGGAUUGUGAAGCAUGCCAUCUCUUUAACAUGAUGCACAGGUUAAUAUAUGCAGGCUGAAUCUAAAACCGGGAGGACGGCAGCAGAGGUUCGGCAGAGAGCUUUAUCCCACAUUUCCAUACGUAGAAAGCAGGAUGCAUUCUGGAACCAUAAUAAUUGCUCACAAUGGGGUGCAGGGGGUAUGAGGUGGUUAAGGCACAGCAGGUGGGCAGCUAACGCAGGCUCCACUUCUGGGAGCAUAGCUAGCGUGCAGCUUAUUAAAAAACAGCCUGAUGGGGUCAGUAGCCCAGUCUCAGAAUACCACCCAAGAACAAUUCAGUUUUAAUAGCUUUUACUAUGUAUUUCAUAAGCAUGCCCAUUGAAAUUGAGUCAUCAAAGCCUCCCGGUUCCUCCAAGACAGAUUUUAGCCCGAGAGCUUGGAGUAAUUAUCCCACUGGAUGUAAGCCUGUGUAGCUAUUUCAACCUCGUUCAUCAUUUCAAACAGCUACAUACUCUGCCUGCUAAUUUCAUCAGAUGGAUUAGCCUCUCUUACUUGUCUAUCUUUUUUUUUUAUUUCUGGGGGGUGAAAUAUUGCCUUUUCCCCGUUUUAAUAAGCUGAGCAGGCAUGCACCGCUGCACCGCUUCUGACUCCUAUUUCUUUCAGCUCAGGGAAUGAUCUACUGAGGGAAGAUAUGAGAGUAAAUGUGAAGGUGAAAAACUUGACCACUCUUACCUGCAGGCUCAAACCAGCUGUUUCAAGCUGUCUAAAAAAAACCACAACCCAAUAACAACACAUUGGUUCAUCUUUUCUCAUCUGUUCCACAUAUAUACAAAAUGGUUGGCUUUCAAAUUGUUUUUGCUCUUACUUUUUUUUUUUUAGUUUCUCUUACAGGAGACAGAUAAUCACACUGCAGGAAGCUGAAGUUGAUAACGUAGGGUUGCAACUCAAGCAGCAGUGCAAUGCUUAGCUACUCAGAAAUAAGUUCCACUAAAGUGCAGAAGGCUUAUGCUCAGGUAGGAAGGGGGGGGGCGGGCGGGAGAGAAACUGACAUUUUAAACUCAAUCCAAAACAAUAUUAGAACCAAAAUACAGCCAGCCUUUGAAAUUUGCACUUCUCCUAGUUUUCUGAUGCUGUUCUCUAACCAAAAAGUCUUUAUGCAUAUAUAUGGGGAAAGUGCACAAAUAUGAAAAUUUUGUUGGAAAUGACAUGUAUUAAGGGAAAUUGAUUGAAAGAAUGUGUAUGUUAUUAAAAUCUGCAUAUAAAAAUGUGUUUACAGUGGUACCUCGGGUUAAUUACUUAAUUCGUUCCGGAGGUCCGUUUUUAACCUGAAACUGUUCUUAACCUGAAGCACCACUUUAGCUAAUGGGGCCUCCUGCUGCCGCCGUGCCACCGGAGCACGAUUUCUGUUCUCAUCCUGAAGCAAAGUUCUUAACCCGAGGUAAUAUUUCUGGGUUAGCGGAGUCUGUAACCUGAAGCGUAUGUAACCUGAAGCGUAUGUAACCCGAGGUACCACUGUAUUAGGAUAAGUUUGCACCAAAAUUUUCAUGAUAUAUUUUUUUAAAAAAGCAAACUGAUGCAGAAAUGUGGAGAAUUGAAUUUAUGACCGGACAAAUGAGAAACUGAAAGAACUGAAAGGGACAGAUACUUCCAUCUUUACUCCCAGGUAACUGGGUAUAUCCAGAACAAACUUAGUUGGUCUCUAAGGUGCUACUGGACAUUUUUUUUUUUUUAGUGUAAAAAAAAAUGUUAAGUAAUUAAUCAAGCUUUGGUUGGUUGAUCUGUUGGUUGAAUUGUCUGUGCUAUGGCAAUGUUAACCCCGGUGUACCAGCUUCCCAGCACUGCAAGGCAAUAGGUUCAUCCUAUUUGAGUCAGUGCUUCUUGAAUCCUGGGGAGUACAAAUGAAAAUGGUUGGCACGGUGAAUUUUGUGUCAGUUCAGCAGAUUGGACUUGAUUAUCUUCACAUUGCUUUGAGACUUAAGAGUCCGUGCCUCUAAUUAUGGGUUCCAAAAUUUAUGAAUGGCAGGCAUGUAUCUUUAAAGCAGAGCAGGUUCUGCUCUGUAGGGAGCCAUCUCAGAGCCACCAAGAGCAGAAGAUGACGGCAAACUAGAGUUGAAACUUUCAGAUAAAUAGUUGGAAGUUCCAUUGCUAUUGCUGCCUUGUGAAUCCAUAUAAGUGUUUGACUUAAUACUAAUGAUCUUGAUACUGGUACUGAACCAUAACUAAUGUUACAAAUUUGCAAAAAUUAAAAGAACAUCACCUAAAAUAUCAAUGAGUCCUAAGAUCAAGGUCGUUGCAAAUGAUAUGGAUCUUGUCUAACUACUUGGAUAAUUUAGGUAUAAUUGAAGGAUCUCUUUCCAGCAUUUCACCACUUCCUAACACUGGUUUUUGCCUUCCUGCUGGUACAGGCUACAGUUCAGUUUAUUACUAAAAAGGACUUUGAUUUUAGUAUAUUAACAAUCAGACAGCAUCCCUUCCCACAAAAUUUGUUAUUUCUUUCUUGCCCAUGAGUAAAUAAAGUGUGUUUCCUCUCCCCACCUGAUGACCACAAUUUACACUAUUAUUUACACUUUUGUGUAUUCAAUGAUUUGCACUAUUCAUGCUCCCUCCGUGGGCCAGAAGCACAAUUCAUGUCAACAAGGAAUCAGGUUUACAAUCAAUCCCUCUUCACAAGGAACUCUGAGAAUUGUAGCUCUGUGAGAGGAAUAGGAACCUCCUAACUCUCUGCACUCUUAAGGAACAACAGCUGCAUCUCGGAGGUUGCCUCCAUGCCCCAACCUCCCCAAAAAAUCAAAAAGCUGUGCAGAAGCUCCACACCCAACACCCACAGAACUUGGACUUCUGCCUACCUUGACUUGAGAAAGGAAAUCCAUGCUUUAUCAUACUGGACUAUGUACAUUGUAACAUAGGAAGUCGCAGUGUGCACCAGCCCCAAGAUUUGAUUCACUUCAGGAAGUGGUACAAUCUGUUCUGAGUCACUCCAUAGUCUGUCCGAUUCAAUUCAUGCUUCAGGUUCAAAGCAGCUUCAUUAAAAACAAAGCUCCAUUUCCCAUAUUUCGCUAUUAUGGAGAAUCAAAAUAUGGCUAUAACUUUUUCCCUUCUUGAAAGAAAUGGAUGAAAUGUACAGCCUAGCAGCCUCUCCAGAGUGGAUUAAGCCCACCAAAUUGCAAGCAAAUACCUCCAGGGUUUGGGGGUCUGGACUCUUUGAUUUAUUUAUUUUAUAUCCUUCUUGUUUUAUUUUGGGAGAGCUGGAUGGAAUUUGUAGCCAUGGUUGCCCCUUUGGAGUGCACAAACCCUACCAAAUCGCAGAAGAAUAGCUGCUUUUCCUGCAAUGACACCUAUGACAGUUUGAAGUGUGCCUCACUUACCUGUGUUUUGUGGGCAAGUCCUCUGCAAUUGCAGGCAUGAGAAAGGUGCUCUUCAGUAGCAUACCUGGCGUAUUGCAGAAAUGUAAGCCCAGGAUUAGCUUUUGUGCUGUAUGCAUUUAAGGUUGAAUGGGGUGAAAUAAGCAGGAUUCACUUUCCUCCAUGUGCUUCUGUUUAUUGAACCAUUGCGAUUGGAGAGCCAUGGAAGGAAUUUCCUCUAUUUGAAAAUGAGACGUGUUGCUCAUAAAGGAGUUCUCUUGCCCCUCUCCCUCUGAACUCCUGCCCAUGUUUCCCUUAUGCUUUAUUAAUGUUGCUUCUGGUAGGAAGCUCCAAUCCAUAGUUUUUCUCUGGCAAGACACACUAUCAUGUGCACUUUAUUCAGGGUUGUUGUUGUUGUUGUUUAGUCGUUUAGUCGUGUCCGACUCUUUGUGACCUUAUGGACCAGAGCACACCAGGCACUCCUAUCUUCCACUGCCUCCCACAGUUUGGUCAAACUCAUGCUGGUAGCUUCGAGAUCACAAAAUGUCAUGAGGCACUCUUUGGUCCAUGAUCUGCAAUGCCUAGUGGAACCUGUGCUUUAUACUAUCAAUGCCGCAAAUCACCCACAGAUCAUCUGAUACCCUCCAACAUUUAUCCAAUGAAAAUAGGGAUGUCCUAAGGAAAAGUGAAGGGACGCGGGUGGCGCUGUGGUUUAAACCACAGAGCCUAUGGCUUGCCAAUCGGAAGGUCGGCAGUUUGAAUCCCUGUGACGGGAUGAGCUCCCAUUGUUUGGUCCCUGCUCCUGCCCACCUAGCAGUUUGAAAGCACAAAGUGCAAGUAGAUAAAUAAGUACAGCUCCAGUGAGAAGGUAAACGGCAUUUCCGUGUGCUGCUCUGGUUCACCAGAAGCGACUUAGUCAUGCUGGCCGCAUGACCUGGAAGUUGUCUGUGGGCAAACGCUGGCUCCCUUGGCCAGUAAAGUGAGAUGAGCACUGCAACCCCACAGUCGUCCUAACGGCCAAGGGUCCCUUUACCUUUAAGGAAAAGUGGUACAUUCUGGGAUCAAAUCAGAAACCAGGAUCCAGAACAGUCCCUGGAAAAUAUGGACACUUGGGGGGUUUGUCAUUCUCAGUUUUCCUCUUGCCUUGGACUUUGCACAGAUCAGUUGCAUCAUGACUAACAGGAAGCUGCUCUGUACCAACUCACACUAUUUGGCCAUUUAUCCUCUCCAGUGUCUCAGGCAGAAGUACUUCCCAUCACCUGCUUCCAUGAUAAUUUUUACUGGCGAUGCCAGGGACUGAACCUGCUGUCUUCUUCAUUUAAAGCAUGUGCUCUGACACUGGGCUAUGGCCUUUUCCCAUGAGAGCUCCCACAUGCUCUGUGCCUGGGGUGGACUGGGACUAGUGCACUUACUUGGCUCCUGGUCUGCUUGGGCAUCCAGGGGCUGGAUUGUGCUUCUUAUUGAUUGGUUCGUCUUAAUUGCAGGUGGCUAAGAGAACUGAUGCAAGAUGAAAGGGAAAGCAUGACUUCACAAUGCCUCCGAGUGACAUAAACCUUACAAACAGAAUAGCCAAGUUUACAGUAAGCAAGAAAGAUGGCUAGGGUUAACUCAAUAUAAUAGAGUGGGCUUUCAAUCAGAGUUAAAAUAUGUCUUUUAAAUGCAAAUAAAGAAAAAUGAUGGGCAUUCACGUGAUUGACAGCCUCUCCAAAUAGAAGUGUUGCUAUAAUUAAGCAAUAAUGUAUGAGUGAGUGUACAUUAUGACAAAUUGGAAGUUCGGCUGAUUAGAUUGAGCAUAUAAACUGUCAGUAUAAUUAUCACAUUUUAAUCAUUUUUCUCCAUUUUUUUAUAACAGCAUUGUCUUCAGACUCAUUUGGUGCUUAUUAGAUUGAUAUUCUAAGAGGAACCGUACAACAUAAAACAUGUCCUUUAACAGGAUGAACUUUAGAUAAGACUUCAGGUAUGUCUAUAAACAUUUAUAAUGGUGGCUGUUGUGCCUUCACAUCCUUUUUCAUCCCGUGUGCCAUUUAAUGCCAGGCGCGUGUCCCUUUGAUCAUGAUAGAAUAUGCUCAGCUUAAAAUUCCAUCGUGAAAUACGGCACUGGCCUACAAUGAAAUGCAAAGCAUGGAAGCAGUGUACACAUGAGACAGCCUUGGCCAACCUGGUGCCCUCUAGAUGUUUUGUAGUGCAGCUCCCAUAACCCCCAGCUGGCAUGUCUUGGAUCUAAAGAGCACCAUAUGGUUGAAAGGGCUGUAUGUGUUUAGCCUGGAGAGGAGAAGAUUAAGCAAAGCAAUGAUCAUGGUCUUCAGCUACAAUGGUCUGUUUAAUGUCUCUAAGAAGCCAUGAGGUACAGUCAUUUGAAGUGUUGGGGUACACUGAUGACACACAGCACUAUUCUAUUGAGUCAGAAGAGGCUGUGUAUUGUCUGGACUGUUGCUUGGGCAUAUAGCUUUCAACUUUCAGAUUUGAAAAUAAGGGAUCAGCAGCCUCACCUGUCCCAGGCACUGCUGUCUUCCACUGCCUCCUGUAGUUUGGUCAAACUCAUGCUGGUAGCUUCGAGAACACUGUCCAACCAUCUCGUCCUCAUGGUUCAAUGUUACUAGUGAGCAAAGUUACCCAGUCAGGAUUUGAAUCUUGGUCCUAACUUUUGGGGUUAAGUUAAUUUUUAGCUGUCCAUUAAUACUGACAAACCGUAUCUCCCAUUCAUCUCUCAGAUCCCCUUGUAAAUCUAAAGUACUGACCUCACCACAUCCUGCAGUAAAAACAUUCCCCAAGUUAACUACACAUUGUGUGAAGGUAAGUGUGUGAAGCUACAGCAUUCCUACUAUCAGCUUAAGUGACACAUUCACUCUCUCUCUCUCUCUCUCUCUCUCACACACACACACACACACACACACACAGAGUAGAUCCCCUCCAAGCCAAAGGCCCAAAGGCAGAAAGCCCAGCCAGCAGCCAAACGAAGCCUCAAGCGGUGGUUCCCACAGUGCAGCAACCCGGCAAAGGGAUACAGCAGCAAGGAAAACCACACCAUCACCUCUCCGCUGGGAAGCGCUGAAGCAAAGGCGAGGCCCCAGGCAACGCGGCCGAUUUGAUCAGCACAAGGCAUGCAAGCUCCACCCCCCAGUCCUUCUCAGACUCCUUAUUGGUGAGCAACGCAGCCGAGCAACGCAGUUGAGGAGCCUCCCUGGCCAGCAGGGAGGGAGAGGAGCUGCUUCCUUUGAAAUCUGGGAAAUUUACGGGAUAUCAACAAUCCGGGAUAGCAGCAGGAAAUGGCGCUGGAAUAAGGGAUUUUCCCACCAAAUAAGGGAAGGUUGACAGCUAUGCUUGGGCACAGUGGUGAAGUGGAUGCUAAUAAGCAGAGCUUGAACCCAGGGAAGAUGGAAGAGGUUCUCAUGUCUAGGAGUAUUGCUAGUUGUCCCUCUUCUGAAUGGGGCUGUAUUCCCUUUGAAAGAACAGGUUUGGAGUUUGCGUGUGCUCCUGGAUCCAUCUAUUCACCGCUGGAGCCUCAGGUUACCUGAUGUCAUGGACUGGCUAGAUACAGGGGAGUAGUGGGGAGUAGGGGAAAAAGGCUUCUGCUUCUGCCACUGCUUCUGGACAUGUCUUUGCCACAGACUCUCCUGUUCACUAUACCCUGUUAUAUCUUCAGCUUCCAACACCUCCUCUUCCCAGUCUUCUCCCUCUUCUCCCACUCAUCACUGCCCUACCACCACUCCCUGGGCUUUGAGCCUUCUUCCCUUAGGAGUUCCCUAGCUGGUGCCUCCCACAAUUUCUCUGCAUCCAACCAGCCCAUGAUACUGGUUUCAGCUUCCUCCUUAUUAAUCCCUAUAGAAAACAAGGAGCAGGAAGGGGGGAAACUAGAAUUAGAUGGCUUCGUCUGUCAUUGGCUAUGGCUCCACCUGCUGUUGACCUUCCUACCUUCUGCCAUUACCAGUCUCAAUGGGUAGUAGUAGUACAUCAUUCAGAAGGCAAGGUUCACUGUGGAUGUCCAUUACAACACACUGUCCAAACUAAAUAUUUUUGGGGAGAAAGGGAAAUGCUAUUUGUGCCUCUCACCCCUUCAAAAGAUGGUUACUCUGUGUGAUAUAAGAACCAAGAAAGGUGGACAACAAGAGAGCUGGUUUGGGUGGGAAGAGGACCAGUGAGUUGAAGCCCAUGAUCUAUAUAGCUUUGAUUCAGAGAAGAACAUGGCGGACACGUGUCUUUGAUUAAUAACUCUCUUAUUUCACAGUAGGUGCUACUUCUGCAGUUCUUUCCCCUUCUGGUAUAGAAAUGGGGGGGGGAGAUUUCCAUGUGGAAUGAGCAGAUCUUCCCUCUGCUCUGGAUUGGGGUGGUAAGCAUGGGAGAUCAGUUCUGCUUAUUUUCAUAGAACUGAGUGGCAUUCGCCAAAUGGAACGAAACAAGGAACAAGUUCCAGAGCAGUUCUUCAAAGUAACUUCCCACGCACGUGUACAAUAUUACUCUACAGAUUUGCUAUUGAAAUGAAAUACUGCAGUGACCUUUUUAAUUCCCCUGAUUUUUUAUAAUCUUUGAAAUUUAGCACAACAGCAGGAGUUUAAUCAUAUUCACUGAUAUAAAAGCCAAAAUAAGGCACCUCUACAUUCAAUUAGAGAUAUGACCUCCAAGGUGCCAGACUCUUCAGAGAUUCUGUGAAUGUCUCCAAGGACAAUUACAUCAAUGAGGCAUGGGGUUUCCUCCUCUCAUUUCCUUCAUCGCAACACAAUCCUAUGCAUGUUUACAUAAAAGGAGGUCCUGCUCAGUUUAGUAAGGCCCACUCCCAAGCAAAUGGGCAUAAAAUGGCAGAUUUAGAACCAAACUACAUGUUGUGUUACUAGUGUGUUUUAUUAGUGUGCACAUUAAUUAAAACCACCAAACCCCCCAAAUAAGGGCUGCAGGAUAGGACUAAUCCUUCCUCCUCUCCAAUUGUUGCUAAAAAUCCCCCAAGCUGCUACCCCCCCACCCCCUCGCUUGCAGAGGUGUGCCUGCAAAAGGGUUCUUGGUAUUAUUACUAUCAUGAUUUAUUAAUGAUAUCAUAUAAUUUACUUGAUAUACCACUAAUGCCAAAAAUUGCAUUCUAAGUGGUUUACAAAUAUAAAAACCAGUUAUAGAAGCAUUAAUAUAUCAGCAUCCAUAACUAAAAUAUGCAAUAAAGCAAACCCAUUUCUUAUAGCCUGCUAGUAAAUUUGGCACAAAAAUAUUGGCACGGUUGUUAUACUGUAUAACAAAAUUUUAAAGUUUGGAAAUGAGGUCGCUGUGAUGAUGAUGAUGGUGGUUAAAUCCACAUAGCUGUGUAUGAAUCUAUCUCCAUUUUACUUUCACAUGUGUGUGUGCCCAUGAUUUUUGUAAACCACUUUGAGGUUUUUCAAGUGGUAUCUAAAUUUUAAGAAGUAAAUAAUAAUUUAUAAGACAUGAUUUAAUUCUGAUGUUUUCCGACGGUGUAAAUUUAAAAGUAAAACAUUUACCAGGAUCCAUAUUUCCCCACUAGAGUUCAUUCUUAUUUUUCCAUGUUGGAAGAGUCACAAAAGAUAAAGCUUUGCACACAGUUUUGUUCUGUAUGCUGUUGUUUUCAAUCAGCCUGAAAGGCCGAGGUUAUCCUGCACCAGGCUUCCUCAACCUCGGCCCUCCAGAUGUUUGGAGACUACAAUUCCCAUCAUCCCUGACCACUGGUCCUACUAGCUAGGGAUUGUGGGAGUUGUAGGCCAAAAACAUCUGGAGGGCCAAGGUUGAGGAAGCCUGUCCUGCAUUAUGGUGCUCCAGUAUGUAAUGUAUCAAGAAUUACAUAUGGCUUUUGCAUGAAUCUUGGUGCCUCAGUAUUGAAAAAGCUUGUCACCUAUACAAAAGUGUGAGAUAGAUUCAUUUAAAAACAAAAAAAAAGGUGAGGGGGGAAACAAGUUUGAAAAGAGACAACAAAAGGAUUCAGGGAUGCAAGCAAGAAACAUGCAAGUAGAGUUUUUUAGUCUCACAACAACCCUGAGAAGUAGACUGAAUAGAAAGCUAGAGACUCAGAAUCAAAGAACUAAAGAAUUGGAAGGGACUCUGAGGGCCAUCUAGACCCACCUCCUAUGAUGCAGGAAUCACAGCUAAAGCAUCCAUGACAAAUGGUCACCCAACCUCUGCUUAAAAACUACCACGUUCCAAAGGAGUUCGUUCCACUGUUGAACAGCUUUUACUGUCAGAAAGUUAUUUCUAAAGUUUAGUCGGAAUCUCUCUCAAGAACAGGAGAAAACAAGCUUGCUCCAUCUUCCAUGUGACAGCUCUUUAGAUAUUUGAAGAUAGCUAUUCUAUCUCUUCUCAGGCUUCCUCAACUGUUCCUCAUAAGGCUUGAUUUCCAGACCACUGGUUGCACGCCUCUGCAUACAUUCCAGCUUGUCCAUAUGCUUCUUAAAUUGCGGUGUUCAGAACUAGACACAGGACUCCAGACCAAGGCAGAAUACAGCAGUACUAUUACUUCCCUUGAUCAGGACGCUAUACUUCUGUUGAUGUAGCCUGGAAUAGCAUUAGCUUUUUUGGCUGCUGCAUCACGCUGUUGUCUCAUGUUGGGGUUGUGUUCUACUAAGACCCCUAGAUCUUUUUCACAUGUACUACUAGUAAACCAGGUAUCCUCGAUCUUAUAUUUAUGCAGCUUGUUAUUCCUGCCUAAGUGUAGAACCUUACAUUUGUCCCCAUUGACCUUACAUUUGUCCCUCAUUUUGCUAGUUUGGGCCCAGUUCUCUAAUCUGUUAAAGUCCCAAUUCUGUUUUCUGCUGUGUUAGCUACCCCUCCCAGUUUGGCGCCAUCUGCAAAUUGGAUGAGCAUCCCCUCAAUUCCUUCAUCCAAGUCAUCCAGGACGGAACCCUGUGAUACCCCACUUGUCACUUUUUUCCAGGAUGCUGAGGAACCAUUAGUGAGCACUCUUUGUGUUCAGUCAGUCAACCAGCUACAAAUCUAUCUAACAGCAACCUUGUCCAGCCCACAUCUUACCAGCUUUUCCACAAGAAUAUCAUGGGGGAGUUUGUUAAAAAACCUUACUGAAAUCAAAAUAUACUAUGUCCAAAGCAUUCCCCUGAUCCACCAAGCUUGUAAAUCUAUUUUCUAAAAAAGAAAUGAAAUUUGUCUGGCAUGAAUUGUUUUUGAGAAACCCAUGCUGAGCCUUAGAAAUUACAGCAUCCUUUUCUAAGUGCUCACUUGCCUCAGAUUACCCAGAAAGAGUCAUAGCAAAGAAAGGACUUGAACUCAGAUUUCUGACUUUCAAAUCUGACAUCUUUGCUGUUGUGCUUACUGUAUCCCAUUCAUUAGGAGAACUGCAAGGUCAGAAAAUGAGCAUUUAGUGUGGAGCCCCUUAGUUUUUAAAACAACUUUAAUUACUUGUUUUGUAGGUGUGCUCGUUCUGUUGGUGCAUAUGUUGAGAUGUGUGCAAGCAUUCAUAUACUGAACUGCAUGCAUAUGUCCAGCCAUUGCCCAUAGAAGUGAAGAUAUCAGUAGAGUGUCUUGUUCUUCCAUACAAUUUAACAAUAAAAACAUUCAGAGCCAAUUGGAUUUUUCAUCAAUCACCCUGAUCACAGUGGCUGUAUCAGCAAAGGGUUUAAGAGGGAUGAUCCGUUAUGUCACUUGAGGCACGGGACAAAAACAUCACUUUCAAAACAUUAAUGCCACAACAAAGCCCCUCUUUUUUUUUGUCAACCUGGCAUCAGUCAAAAGGCUUAUGAUGCAAUUCCUGCCAAACAGGGUGAGCAGAAAUGCUUGACAAGUCUCUUACACGGCUUGGCGAAAUAUCCUCUUCAUUUCAUGCCAGACAUAAGUGGCAAACAUUUUGGUCUUUACUCUGUAUCAAUCAGGGUGUAUAACAUUUUGCAUUUGCAAAGUCAAAGUGGAGAUUUUGAAAGUUGGAAGGGUGGAUGUUAAUUUCCGCAAUCUCUAGAUCCCCAGCUUUCAGUUUGAAAUUUUGUAAUGAUCGGCCACAUAAACCAUGGUUGUGCAUGGUUUAUCUGCCUUGACAAAAAGUGGCUCAACAGUCCUUAAACCCGUUUAAGUCUGGCUACAGUUCAGGAUGCUGUCAUGCUGUUCAGUCAUGCUGGCCACAUGACCCGGAAGCUGUACGCCGGCUCCCUCGGCCAAUAAAGCGAGAUGAGCGCCGCAAGCCCAGAGUCAGCCAUGACUGGACCUAAUGGUCAGGGGUCCCUUUACCUUUACAGUUCAGGAUGCAAACCCACAGCUUGAAGGAUAUAAUUAUUAUGCCUAUAUUGACAUAAUACUUAACCUGCUGGCAUCCAUCUGUCUUGAGAGACAGUGGAAUGCACCUCCGGGGGUGAAGUCAAACCAUUGUGUUGGCACCUAAGUGACCUCCCUGGAGCACAAGCUUGGGCAGUAUGCGUGGAGGUCCUGGGCUGCCCAGACAACAAGACUCCCCUCUCGACCUCGCUGAUGCAGUCCAAAGGAAAGCAGAGCAGUAUGUUCGGCACCAGCCUGGCUGCAGGAGUUGCCAAAAGGAGGCACAUUACCCUUCCUCUAACACCCCAUACACCCCAAUAAUAUUUAACCAUGGUUAACGCAACCCCCGUUUUUCUAAUGUUGUAUUUUAAAAGACUGUAAGCAGCAGAUCUCACUGGUGUGUCCCUAUACAUAUUCUCUAGGGAUAAUUGAGCAAGAUGCACCAUGAUUUCAUUGUGCUAUUUGGAUCUUUACCAGAGUUAAAGCAAACAUGGUUAGCAUUUUGCAGGACGUCUCCAUUUUACCAAAGACUUCUCAAGAAGCAAAAAAAGAGAAGUAUUUGCCACAAAUUCCCUGCUCAAUACAGUAUACCACUUUCCCUUCCAAUAAAUCCAGGAGAGUCCAUGCUACCAACUUGCAAAGGAUUCAUGGUCAGUCAAACACUCCGUGACACACCUUUUGAUAGAUAGAUGCUGUGAUAAUCUCAUCUUCCAUGCUAUAGUACUUAUGUUUACCAUUAAGUCAUUUGCCCAUACUUAUAUCUUCUUGACAUGUUUUGGUAGGCUGCAAACUAUUAGAAAAAUACAUCAGAGUGGCAAUAGCUUCUGAGGGGCUGAACAUUCACACAGGGACCUUUAACAAGCAGUUUGUGGCCAUUCAUUACAAAAUUUACUGCAAGAUACUUUAUGUGCUUCUGUAUCCCACACAUAAAGAACUGUGCAGUAGUUUCAAUAAAAUUUGUGUGAGAUACUUUAUGGGACUUAAUCUUGGCAAUGUGGUGCCAUCAGGAAGACCUAGUAUCUGUGUAUUAGACUUCAAUUUGGAAGAUUUUCCUAGUAAAUGGCUAAAUCAUUAUUCAGUUGAAUGAUAACUUACUGUAAACAGUAUGUUGCUUCUGGAUAUAUCACUUUUGAUCAAUAGGUUUUCUGUCUGACUCUGCAUCUGUUAAUAUUGUAGAGUGGCUGGACUGAAUGCUUCAAACAGUCUAAGUGGAAGGAGAGAGUUCAUUAACAAAGAUUCACUUUUUAAAUAUAUCAUAGGAUUCACAUAUAAAGAUGCAAUAUUAAGGCUGCAAUCAUGUCACAUUAUAUACCAAGAUAAGAGUCGGCUAAUUAGUACAUGUAAACUCAAAGCAGAAACUUUGCUUUUGCUGCAAGAGACCUGGGCUUGUGAGGGCUUCUCCCUAUCAGGGUAUAAGGGCUUCUACCUGAAUGCAUAUCAGAAUUUACUAUCUCCUGGCAGACCACAAGGUGGGUUGGCUACCCUAGUUUCUUUGGCCUUAAACCUGCAGGUGGAACAAAUCGACAUCCAGUCGUCAUCCAUGCUGGGUGUUAAGCUACAAACAGCGGAGGAAGUGUUUGUGGUGAUUAAUGUUUAUUUGCACCCAAUCUAUAAGAAAAACCUGGUGGUCCAAAGAUGGAGGGAAAUUCAACAGACUCUUGAAACUCUCCUAGAGAAAUAUCCUGAAGCCACCUUCCUAGUUGCAGGAGAUUUCAAUGGCCGAUUGUCUCACUCUGAUAAAUCAUUAUUUGCUAAAUAUAAUAAAUAUCCCUCACUACCCAUUUUAACCUCAGACCUUUUACCCAGGAAUUUUAAAGACAGUGUUGCUACAUAUGCAGGUUUUAAAUGUAGACAAACUUUGAUGGCUCUUAAUUUUCACCUUUUAAACGGAGCUCUCAGUUCUGAUUACCCUGCCGAAUUUACUUUCUGGUCAGGCUCCCGAGCCUCUACCAUAGACUUUAUUUGGACAUCAGCAGACCUAAUUCCCAAAAUUUCCAACUUUAGGGUGGUAACGAGGCUGGAAAGUGACCAUUUUCCAUUAGAACUUUCGCUGACCCUGGAUGGAGAAUUGGCUACCUACUCCUGCGUGCCUAUUACAAAUAACCAGCUUCAGAUGAGGCCCACUGCCUUAAAAUGGACCGACAAUAUGGCUCAACGGAUAAAUGAACUCCUUUGGUCUGACCAACUGCAAGAGACAAGGGACUCCCUUAUCCAGGCAGUUGAGCCACUGCCAAUAUAUGACAAUUUAGUAGAACUGCUAAAACCUUCGUUGGCUAAGACCCCGGUAAUGAAUAGUAACCAUUUCUCUCAUAAAAAGUGGUUUGAUGAGGAAUGCAGGCACUUCAAGAACAACCUAUAUAAUGAAUUCUUGGCAUAUAGGGCAUCAAAUGACUCCGCACCUAGCAGUCACCUUAUGAUCCUCAAGAGAAGGUAUAAAGCACUAUUAAAGGAAAAGAAGCGUGCGGCAGAAAGAAAUGAUUGGAAGAACCUUCUAAAAGCUGCAGAAAAUAGAAAUCCCUCCUCCUUUUGGCACCAAAUUUCCAGAUACCUGGGUAGACCGUUGUCAAGGAUAGAACCCCAAAUUUCAGCUGACACCUGGGAAAGCUUCUUCUCCGUUUUAUAUGCAGCUCACGCAGCUAGCGGAGGAAGGUUAGAUUUGGCCCCCUUGCCAGAGUGGGAUCCUGUUACCUGCUCUGAAGUGGAAACACUUAUAGGCCAAUUUGAGGCGGGCAAGGCACCCGGAGACGAUCUUAUUUCCAUAGAUCUUAUCAAAGCCAAUAAGGAUUGGUGGUGUCCACCCCUAGCAGCUCUUUUUACUUAUAUAAACAAAACAGCACAAUUUCCUCCAAGCUGGAACUCUGCACUGAUUGUGUUAAUUCACAAGAAAGGGCCGCGCACAGACCCGGCCAAUUUUAGACCAAUUAGCCUGCUAAAUGUUAUCGGGAAGAUCUAUUCAAGAUUUCUACUUAACAAAUUAACGACCUGGAUGGAAAGCAACAAUAUCAUCGCAGAGGAACAGGCGGGUUUCCGCCCGGAAGAUCAACAACAGACCAAAUCUUAAUCCUAAAUCACUUGGCCACUAAGUACGCUGGCAAUGGCCUAAAAGCCCUCCACGUCGCCUUUAUAGACUUUAAGCAGGCCUUUGAUCUAAUUCCCAGGAACCAGCUAUGGACAAAAUUGGCAGCGACAUCUAUCGACCGCCGCCUUCUCUUGCUGAUUAUUAAUUUGCAUACAAAUACCCUCUUGAGGAUUAGGAUAGAUAGUAAGGGGCUAGUCUCCAAUCCGGUUGCCACCACUAGGGGGGUAAGACAGGGCUGUUUGCUUGCCCCUGCUCUGUUUAACUUCUAUAUAAAUUCGCUAGUGGUGCAUAUGGCAAAUGCUGAUUUCCAUCCACCAAAACUGGCAGGACGAGCCUUGAAUGUCCUACUGUAUGCGGACGAUGCCGCCCUAUUAGCUACCUCCCCAUCGGAUUAAGGAGGAUGCUUCGAGCUCUUCAUGAAUAUGAGACCCAACACGAGCUCCAAUUAAAUUAUGCCAAGACCAAAAUAAUGGUCUUUGCUGCUCGACCGAAACCUAAUUUAUGGUCAAUUAAUGGUAUUCCUUUAGAGCAGGUCAGUUGCUUCAAGUACCUGGGUCAGGUUGUAAGAUCAAAUAGGUCCUUCCUGGCGCACAGAGAAUACAUAGCCUCGAACGCAUCCAAAGCAGCCCUGAUGAUUAGAACCCUGUACUCCAAGAAACAGGCACAAACUGUCAAUGUUGCCUUACGUCUCUUUAAAAUGAAAGUCCUCCCUCUUCUGCUGGUGGGCAUUGCCUUGGGCUCACGUAGGGAUUUUGAAAAAUUGGAAUCUAUCCAAACCCAAUUCCUCAGGGCCAUACUCAGGAUCCCCCUCUGUGGCAGGUGCGAUCAUGAGGCUGGAAACCGGUUGUCAAGCCUUUAGGUAUGUGGCCCUGAAAGCGAAGUUAUGGCUAUGGCUCAAGCUCUGUUUCAGACCGGUGGGUUUGGCCCCCUUGAUUCUGAGGGAUAACUUUAAAUCUCCAUGGGAAGGGGAGAUAGUGGAGGAAGUGCAGAAGUGUGGGUUGUCCUCCCUUUAUAUAGAGUCCAUGACGUAUAGCCACGCAAAGGCGGUGAUCGCGCAAAGAUUAAGGGAUAUUGCCAGACAGGAGGACAUAGCCCGUGUGAAACCUGGGUUGUUUCUGGGGGAGCAGUUGUAUCGGGCUGCCCCAGCUCGCUACCUGGCGGAUAUCCACUACGUGGAAUACCGCAGACUAUUUACUGCGGCUAGGCUGAAUGUUCUUGACUCGGCGGUCCUGAAGGGAAGAUAUGGAGGAGUCCCAUAUGACCAGAGAUUAUGCCACUGUGCAUUGGGUGAGGUAGAAUCCACAGAGCACAUUUUAUUGAGCUGUCCCUUCUACAACGAUUUAAGACAGUAUCUUAUAACUCCAUACUUACCCCAGCUCAGUUCCCGACAAAGAGGAAAGCAGACAGCAUAUCUGCUAAAUAAGUCUUCUGGGAAAACAACCUUGUCAGUGGCUAAAUUUCUUUUCCUGGCACUCAAGUGUCGGAAACGUAUAAUUGAAUGCUUUGACGUGGGUUAUCUGUGAGAGAUCUAGUACUGUGGCUCUACCUUACUUAUGUACCUUAUGUAACUUAUGAUGUUAUAGUUUAUAAUUAUUGUGUAAUGUUUUAAUUCUGACUAUCGGUCGAAUAAAGAAAUUGAUUGAUGAUUGAAAGCAGAAACUCUUUUUUUGGAGGAAACCAUUCUCCACCACCCUGAAAUCCAAAAUAUGCCAUUUUUUCACAUUUCACUUUUAUGUACCAGUGAUGCCCUCCAAAUUUCUGACAACAGCUGAUACAAUGCAGACAAGCAUGAUGCUGACUGGGCUGUUGAAAGUUGAAUCAGCACUUUUCAGUGGAUUUAAUAUAAAUUUUGAAGUCACAUUUCACAGAUUGAAUUCCACAGCCACGUUAUGUGAUGCCAGAUAUGAAUGGUAGAGAUGAAAGGGGAGAAAGAGAAAAUGCCAAAUCACAUUUGAAUUUAGACUUUAAAAAUCUAAAUUGUUUCUGUGGCAAUUGCACGGACUUUUCUGGCAAGAAGUAAAUGUGGCAGUAGGAAGUCAUGGAAAUUUUUCAUUGGCUGACUGACUGAUUUGAUUUCUAGGCUGUCUUUCAGUCCUGAAGGAUUGCUAAGACAGUGUCAGGGCCCAACUCUGAGCAAUAGCCUGGUUCUUGGAGAGCAACUCAGAUGAAGAGGAGCCAGUCAGGUCCAUCUGACAAGCAGCAACACAGGCAGAAAUGCUGGAAAACUACAUGGGCCCUGACUUUAUGAGGCCUGAGCCCAUUGGAUUAGAAGCCUCUGAAUCAGGGACUCCUGCAUCAGAAAUGCUGGAGUCUAAAUCCAGUCCUGUCCCCAAAGAACUGACCACAUAAGAACAUAAGAGUCUCCUAAAUCUGGUCCAGCAUCCUGUUUUCACAGUGGCCAGCCAGAUGCCUGUGGAAAGCCUGCAAGGAAGACACAAGCACAACAGCAUUCUGCUCAUGUAGCAACUGGUAUUCAGAGGCAUGCUGCCUCUCACUGUGGUGACAGAACAUAGCCAUCAUGGCUAGGGACCCACGCCAGGGACCCACAACCCCAGGUCAACCCAUUAAGACAGCAAUGAGCCUGGAGGGAAAAUGCAAAUGCCUUCUCUUUCUUUCUAAUCUGUAACCUAACCAAGCUACCCAUGGUUCAUUUGACUGACUUAGAGGCCAGACAAUGAAAGCCCCAUGCCUGAGAAACUGCUGCCAUCAGUAUUCACAUCAACAGACUUCAGCAUCACUCUUUGCACACUCCUCAAGUUACUGAGCCUAUAAGAGUUAUCUGCUUUAAAACAUUAUGGCCAAGUCUUCGAUGGAUGUUUCCUAGCCUCAAUUAUUUCAAUCCUUAUCACCUUGGCUUCCCUUCCUAUUUGCGAUCCCAGGUUCUGUCCCGAGUAUUUUUGAAGAGUCACUGGCAGCCAGUGCCCAUAAUACUGUGAUAAGCAGAUCCAUCACCUGCCUCAAAAAGACAACUUUUUAUGUUCCACCAUCUCCCAUCAUUGGCCUUUUCCUGGAUGUUUCUAUAUAAGCAUAGGCACCUUAUUAUUUAAGUGGUUGGAUGCCUGAUCCCCAAUAAUUCUUGAGGAACUGUUAGAGCCUCUUGUUCUGUCCAAGGCAGUGGUCUCAGCUCAGGGAUAAUGUGGUUCUAGCCCGGUAGGGGCUUAUGCUGAGCACAGAGGUCAGGGACACCAGAUCAUGUACCUCCAACACCAGUUUCAAAUCCCAGCCUAACUCAUAUUCUAGCAAGGCAAGCUCAAACAAAGCAGAGAACAAGUCCAGAUAAAGAAGGGCAGGGCAAAGCAGAGGUUCAAGAUCAAAAGGCAAAAAAUGUAAGGUGGGUGGAACCCUGGAUAGCUCCAAAAGAAGCCUAGGCUUAACAGAUGAAGAGAACUUUAAAAAUUGAACAAAUGAAUAACAAAAUCUGUCCAAGUGAAAUUCCCACAAAGGAAAUGUUCUUAUCUCUGUGUUAUUUGCCCACAAUAAGCAGACUCACAACUGAAUGUUGCAGUGUUUCCUCAGCCCCUAGAAACAAACCCUCUAAGGAGCUCCAACCAGCCUGGAACAGGAACCUAGCAGUGCAGAUGUGCACAGAUGUGGAGGCGGGAAAGGAAAAAGGACACCCCUUUUUCAUUUCUACCUUACUGAAACUACCCUGCACGGUGCUAUUAAGUGUUCAAGGGCUCAGUGUUUUAUUGCUGUAUCAUUUGGUAUCUGGAUAGUGGAGAAGUGGAAAUGUGCUUUUCCCCCUUCCCUGUCCCAAAGCUUUCGCAUAUAGCAUGGAGAAGAUCCACAGAUCCUCUUAACCCUAAGCUCCCUUCUAGGAUACCACAAGCAGUUAAGGGAUCAAACAAAGCAAGUCCUUCCAUCCCUCUCUGAAAUAUACUCGGAGUUCAGUGCUGAUUUCAUGCUCUUUAUUUCAGCUCAUGGUAAACAGUGAGUGAGUGCUUUCCCCCCAAACCUCUGGUUAUAUAUACAGUGGUACCUCGGGUUACAUACGCUUCAGGUUACAGACUCCACUAACCCAGAAAUAGUGCUUCAGGUUAAGAACUUUGCUUCGGGAUGAGAACAGAAAUCGUGCUCCGGCGGCACAGCAGCAGGAGGAGGCCUCAUUAGCUAAAGCGGUGCUUCAGGUUAAGAACAGUUUCAGGUUAAGUACGGACCUCCGGAACGAAUUAAGUACUUAACCCGAGGUACCACUGUACAUUAUUUACACAAUGGGUCCCAUGUGAUUGGCUGAUUCAACUCCCCUCCUGGAGCCUGAGUGGACUGUUCCUGCAGGCCAAUCAGGAUGCUGAUUCACUUCCUCCUGGAGGCGGAUUGGGCUGCUCCUGUAGGUCAAUCAGGUUGCUGAUUCACUUCCUCCUGGAGCCGGAUUGGGUGGCUCCUGCAGACCAAUCAGGUUGCUGCCUUCUAGGAUCCUACUUGCCUAUUGUUCUAGGAUCCAAGCUCAGUGCAUAACACUCUCCACAUUCCUUUAAUCUGCAAACUGAAGUCAUCAACAUUUCAUAGGUCCUGGGAGUCACUGAGCAUAGAAAGAAAUGUCUUUUGGAUUUUCAAAACUUUUAUUUCCUAUUACUGUAUGAACAGAAUACUUUAGGAUUCCUGGGUUGCUCCUUGGUUAUACAGAAACCUACCUGUUAUGUCUGGCUGGCCCCUUUUUCUUCCAAACUGAUGGUCGUGUGGCAUGAGGCCACCCAAGUUUGCUAAUAGAGGAAAGGAUGCCAGAGCUCCAUAUCUGAAUGUCUCAGAAAAGUAUGAAUAAUACGCACCAUAGAAUUAAAAAAAUAUCUAUUUAUCCUCUUUUAUUCAAUCUUUCUAUUCUGUUCCUCCCUGGAGAACUAUUUCAAAGGUUAUCAUGUUCAUGUAGAAUGGCACACACUGAGAAUAACCACUUUAUAACCCAUGGAUGGGUCAGUUUGUAGAUUAUUUUAGGUGUAUUGUUUGCAUAGCAUCAAGUAUAUGAAAGUAUCAGUUAUCCUAUCACAGCAAUGGAAGAAUGCAAGGAUUUUUAUUUCUAACCAAUAUCCCAAAAUAACCAUCCAAGAAGAAAGGGAAAGUCACGGCGCUGUAUAGUUUUUGCCACAGAAGUUGAAGGCAGUUGCUUAUAACUAGAGGCUGUAGAAAUCUGCAUGGCAAAACAGAGCUAGACACAGCACUGGAGAUACAGGGUGGGCGGGACAACCCCAGCUGAUGUCAAGUUUAUUUACAUAAUUUAUUCUAGUUGCAGAACUUGUGGGAAAGUGAUUAAAUUCAGCAUUCUAGAGACCCUUCCUUCCUUCCUUCCUCUCUGUUUGAUGUGGCAUAAAAACCCUCACUUGUCUUGCUUUCUCCCACAAAGAAAGGUACUUUGAGAUCAGAGGGGUAAAUUCAGAGAAAUGGCCAUAUGUUUUGGCACAUAGACAUUAAACCAAUAGCAAUCACCCUCAAUAGCUCAGUUGGUUACAGCGUGGUGCUGAUAACGCCAAGGUUUCAGGUUCCAACUCUAUGAUUCUAUUAUCAUUAGUAUUAUGACCACACAGAGAUGUUGCAAGAACUCCAAAUUCUCCACAGAAAAAAAUUGAGAGGCUUUGAAAGUUUGUUAGGAAAUGAAACUGUGAUUUCCCAUUUGCAAUAAAACCAAGAUUCGAAGCAGUCUUUAAACAUUCUUGCUGCCUUUCAGGAAAGGCUGUCAUUUCAUUUCCAAGCCACCAGAUGCCAGACGUCUACUGCAAAUUUCUGUUCUAUCACAUAUACAGGACAGACUCAGAUGAUCUUUCUAUGCAUUAAUAUAUCCCUUCAGCAGAAAUUCCCCGUCUUUUAAGCAGCGUGUUCUUGAUGCUAUUCAUUUACUGUAACAAUCCUUGAUUAUCCGCAAACUGUUUCUAAAGGUGAUUACAAUUUUGUCAAGGAAUCCUUCUUUUUAAAGGACUGUGAUUUUCCUCUUCGAUCAUUUCGCUUUCCCCUCUAGAACCCGCACCAGAUAAUAAAAUUCAGUCCUCAGUUGCAUGAGGAACAAUGGCAUCUAAUGUGUAGCAAUAAAAGAAAAUUAAAAUCUUUCACAUGAAAAACUAAAUUAAAUAGGGUCAACAAUUUAGCAACCAGACAAAUCUAUAAACAUUACUCCUAUACAGAGGAAGCCUGUCGUAAGAAUAUUUAUUCUUACAUCAAGAUCUAAAAUGCAGUACAUUUAAACCACAUAUGACUUUCAUAUAACAAUUUUCUUUCCAAUUUAGUAGCCAUGGCAUUUAUGUUUUAUUUGAAGAAUAAAUAUUUUUUUAAAAAAUAUUUUGGUUCUUGAAAUUGAAGUGGUUAAAAUGUUUUUGGUUUUGUUUUCAAAUGGCAGAUAUUCAUUUACAUUGUGGAGUGCAAUUUAUGAAUAAUAUGCACAUUUCCCCAACACAUCCAUAACUAAAUGCUAUUACGCCACAAUUCAUAUGACACCAAGACUGUAAGCAUGCAGAAAGACGUAUCUAUGAACAGAGACGUGUUGUUUUGGAAAAGAAAAAAAUUGCAGCUCAAAUAGCAAUGUAAAUUCUUUUCCCCGUUGCAACAGACACGGAAUUUUGUAUCGUGCUGUUUAAAAAUAAACUUGUAAUUCCAUGUGCCAAAAGGACAGAACGGGAAGCUGGAGAAGGUAUUUUUAAAACCCUCUUCCAAUUAACAGAAAGGGAUCCCCAGAGCCAAGUCAUAUUCAUUAAUUUAAAAUGCUUGUACAAAACAAAUCUUUCUAGAUAAAACCCAAGUGUACUUGGAUUAAAAAGAUAUAUGUGCUGAAAUGUAUAUACUGCAACGUUACGGGGGGGGGGGAGCACCUGUAAACAUUGAUAUCAGACAUUAAUAAAAAAAUAUUCUGACACUUAAUGCACAGUUUCUCAUUAAUAAUUAAAUUAUUAAUGAUAAUACAAUAAAGCCAUUUUGCCCUUAUAAGACACAUUCCUGCUGACGACUCGUUCUGUUUUCAACAUUCCACUAAACAGAAAAGUAAAAGGCUGGCUUUUCGAAAAGCAAUACAUGGUAAGAUUAUUCAUCAUUUAUACUCAGCAUAAAGUCUCCUUCAGAGUGAACUGUAUUUUGGAGCAAAUUAUCCAAUUAAACAUAUGACUGGUCUUUUUUUAUUAAAAAAAAAAUCACAGGAUUUCAUCACGAGUCAGAACAUUACAUUCAAAUUUCUUUUCCGCAUAUACAGCUACAAAAAAGUGAAGUGUGAGGAAUUGUAAUGAACCAGAUAGACUAGUCUGGAGCCUUUUUUACAUAAUCCCUUCAUGUAGAAUCAGGACUUAUUUGGGAUUGACUGAAUUGCCCGUGGAUUUCAGAAAUCAUUGUUUGCUCUUGGUUCAAGGAAGAAUAGUCUUUUUCUUGACAUAAAAAUGUCAAAAAGUUAUAUAAUUAUAUUUUAUGAUACCAUUAUAAUUUCUGUCCAUUCUUUCAAAAUAUAGCAUUAAGCUACUCCAUUAUCUUAUCACUUUCUUAAUCUUUCCCCUUUUACAAAAAGAAUUGACAAAAUUAUCAUUGAUCUUCCACCAGAUGUUGUACUGGGUGCCCUUUUUUUUUGCAAAAUACCUUUGUUAAUCUGACCUCUCUUAAUGAUUACGCACAUAUUCCUUAGUAACUGAAUAAAACUUUUCUUUCACAAGAUAGCAAGUGCUUAAUCCUCAUUAUUGGGAAUAUGCUAAAACCUUGAAUACUUGUCAAAGAUUCAUUUUAUAAUCCUGAGGUUGGUUUGCCUUUAGUGAUUUACACAAGGGCUGCGAUUACAAUAAUUGAUUUAUCCUGUACUUAAAAUCUACUGGUGACAUUAAAAUGACAUUAACCAAUUUUUGCUGCUGGAGUUUGGAUUUACUUUAAGGAGAGGUAAGAUUUGUCAUUACAUAUGUCUUAAUAGAACACUUGUGACUUAAAACAGCUAGUUCAAAUAUAGCAGAAUAGAAGAAAAGCUAAGUCUAUCGAAUUGAAGCAGCUUAUUAAAACAACAUCAGUUAAGGAUGGAGAGCAAAUUUGCUUUAUUAACCUUUUUUUGCAUGCUAUCUGUUGACAUAAAAACUUUGCUUUAAAGUGCAAGUGCUAUACUCUCUAGAUCUAUUCCUCAAAAAGUAUGAAAAGAGGAGAUUUGCAUAAUAAAAAAAGCAUGUUUUAUCUGGAGCGUUAAAGAAUUUCAACAUGCAAACAUUCACAUAUAUGUUCACAAUUAUCUCCUAAAUGGAAUAUAUAAUCUGCCAUAAUUCUUCAUUCGAUAUAUUCUCAUGCAAGAGGGGAAAGAAUCAUAUGCUAGUUGUUGAAGCAAUUCCUCACUGUGACAUGUACUUCCAUUUUCUUGAGUAUGUUUCUUGAGUGUGUUUGACUUAAGGAUUAGCUAAAUGUCCCUCCCAAGGAAACUAUGGUGUUUUCCCCCUCAGGUUCUGGUUUUCUGAUAAGAAAAAGCUCUCACUGAAUGCAGCAAUUAUUGCACCGAAAACUGGAAUAAGGAAUAAUUUCUAUUCAAGAAAAAAACCAGGAUAUAAAUAAUAAUAAUAAUAAAAGAGUUUGGAACAGCUCUUUCCAUACAUGUCAUGUUAGUUUUAAUUAUGCUUCAUUAAAGCUCCUAGAUAAGUAAUAGUGAUUACCAUGGUUGGUUCAUUAACACUGUGAUUUUAGCCACAGCUGAAAAACAUGCUGUAAAAAGUUAAUAAGGACCAAAAAAAUAAUAAUCAAAUAUACUGCAGAAGGCACAGAAAGAACAAAGACAGUUUGAAAUAAUUAUGAGGCCAAAAGCUGAUCAGGUGAGCUGUCAAAUGUUGCCAGCAACAAAUCAAGUACAGUGUACGCAGAAAGAAAUCUUGCUUUGCAUAUCUACUAACAAAUUACCCAGAAGGAAUAUAUAGGAAGCUUCUCCAUAUACUUGAGAGUUUUGCAGAUGCAGGGUGCCAUGCAACUAAUGUCAAUGUGUGGAAGACACAAGAGCUACCCACCAGGGAAGAAUGGCAGAUGAAGCUGAUGGACUACAUGGAACUGGCGGAAAUGACUGGCAGAAUCCGAGACCAGGGAGAAGAGUUGGUGGAAGAAGAUUGGAAAAAAUUUAAAGUAUAUUUACAGAAACAUUGUAAAAUUAAUGAGUGUUAGAAGGAUGCUGGAAUGAAACUAUAUGGUUUUAGUAGAAAUGUAACAAAGAAUUAAGUAAAAGCUGAUUGAUAAUGGGCCAAAACGAAAAAAUUUAAGGUUAGAUUGUUAAGAUAAAUUAUAGAACAAAAAUUGAGAAAGAUGGAAAGAAUUUGCUGAAAUAGUGAAUUGAACUAGAAUACAAAAAAGGGAGGUGUGAGGAGGUCGAUGAAACAAGUAAAGGAAAGGUAAAGAUAUGGAAUAUUGGGUGUGUGUUUUAGUCUUUUUGUUUCUUUUUACUGUAUUGUUGUAUUGCUUUUCUAUGUUUUUCUUUUUAUGUAUUGUAAGGUAUGUUCUGGGAUUUUUUGAUUUUUUUAUUGUUGUCUUUUUUUCUUUUUUCUGUAAUCUUUAAACUUCUAAUAAAUAUCAUUUAAAAAAUAAUAAUGUCAAUGUGUGGAAGACUGAAAGGCAUGAUAUUUUUGUAUGAAUGUUGAAGCUGGAAAUAAGUUGCCUUUCCCUAUUUUUUCACUGAUUUGCAUUGCGCUUCCAUUUCCUAUUAGGAACAUAGGAAGCUGCCUAAUAUCAGACUACAUUUGUGCUCCCCAGCCCAAUAAGCCUACUAUGACUGGGAGAGAUUAUCCACGGUGUCUGGCAGAAGCCUUUCCCAUCACCUGCUCUACGUCACCCUUUUUAUCCGAAGAGACCAAGGCCUGACGAUGGGAGCAUUCACAUGCAAAGCAAGGCACUCGGCUGCUCACCAUGGCCCUUCACCUGUUCUCAGAUGUACCUUGGUCUCUACCGGGCAAAUUAAACACAGCAACAGCAUGUGUUAGAACUGGGUUGCCAUCACUGCUAUAUAAAGCAAGGCAAAGCUAGGGUGAUUUAAAAGUGCAGCAUGAGUGAGUGGGUGGUAGAAAUUAUGUGCGGAACCCUUUCCCUUUCUUCAUUCCUGCCCCCACCAUUUCAAAACAUGUCUCCUUUACUGUUUCUUUUGCCCAUGAAACUCUUGUGUCUGGAAAUAACCCUUAGUAGGAGAAAACUAGUGUUUUGGGGAGAGCAAAGUGGGAAGGGUAAGUUUCAGGACCUGCUUCUGCCUGUCUAUGCCACACUGUAAAUCCAGUCAUCAGAGGCACUUCAGACAUCAAUUCUGGUUUCUCUCAGUUUCUCAUUUUUCUAAUCUUAAAUUCAGGUCUCCGCAUUUCCACAACAGUUUGCAUUUUUUUAAAGAAGUCUUCAUGAAAAUUCACCUUAAUUUUAGUGCAAAUUUCUCCUAAUAUACACAUUAAUAUAAAAUGUUUGCAAAGCAACCUUUCCCCAAUAUAAUGCCUUUUGUGUGUUGUUUUCACUCAUACAUGCAUUCAUAGGGACACUUUACACUAGCAUAUGCAUUUCUGUACACAUUACUUGGCUAGAGAACUGCAUUGCAAAAUUCAGAGAAAUUUGAAUUUUGAAGGCUGGUUGUGCUUUGGCUUGGAUCUUUUAUGGGAAAAUGUGAAUGAGGUAAGUUUGCCUUUAAAUGUGAACAGAAUCAAAUUGCUACCCCAUUCCUAUCCGAACCCCUUGGCUAUCUGGGGUGCACUGGGAAGUUACAGGGCACAGAAGUUUUUCUGUGGAAAUGCCCCAGCCUUGGAACAGGCUGCCCAAAGAAAUUCACCUGGUGCCCACUCUCCUGUCUUUCUGGUAACCUGCAAGGACCCUUUUACUUUCCCAGGCUUCCACUGAUCUGUUGUUGUUGUUGUUGUUGUUGUUGGAAUCCAUCCUAACCACAAUGGUUCACACACACCCCCACACACAUUAUACUUUGAAAGAAAAUGUAAAUGGCAGUGAGACGGGAGGGAAGAGCUCUGCCUCCUUCCAUUGUGCUCUGUGGGCCUCUACACACAUACCAUUACAUUCUCCAUCCUUAUAUUUUUGCAUACACUGAUGCAAUGGGAUAGUGGAGAGUGUCAUUACUUUAGCACAAUCUGAAGUCUACAUAAAACCUAUAGGUGAGAUUAUUAUGGUUUUGGAGUAAGGCAUUGCCAUGCUGAUAACAUCCAGCUUUGUUGGUGAUUUCAGCAAACUCAGGUUUUGGUUAUGAAGCAGCCUUUGGCAGGUACGGCAAACUGGAUGCUAACUUCCCCAGCAAGGGCCAGCAAAGGCUCCUCUCUGAAAUACUAAAUAGCAACUGCUAAUCAGUACAGUACAGAGAAUAUUGAGUUAGAUGGCAAAACAGGUUUUUUUUUUGUUUUAAACAGCAGUAGGAAACCCCUUAUAGUCCAUUUUGCCUGUCCCUCCAGGGGAAGGGAAUUCCAAGACCAGUGAGCCACAACAGAGGAAGACCCCCUACCAUAUUGCCACUCAGUGGGUUAAACCCACUCGGGGCACAACAGAUCUGCCAAUUGCAGUACCUGGGACUGUUUAUAUGGGAGAAGGCACUUUGACAGAUAGGUAGUUCUUAUCUGGGUCCAAUGAGCAAGAUCCUCUCUCAGUUUUAGCUGCAUACCAAGGGUGUAGAAAUCAAUACUUUAUCUUUGGUAGCCCCAUUUGCACUCAACCACCUGUGCAGGUAUAUCAGGAGCCAACAAACACCUUCAAUUUCAACAGGACUAAGCAUGUUUACUUAAAAGCAAUCCCAACCAGGGCCAGCCCUACUGUAAGGCAGAGGGAGGCCAUUACUUCAGGUAGCAGGUUCCAGGGGCGGCAGCAGCCCUCUGGCUAUUCUUUCUAAUCCCUCUGGUGGAGAUGAUGAACUAUGGCUCACCUAGCCUGCUGCCCUUUAGGGGUACUGGAGAAUGCAAUCCUGUUGCCAGUGUUGAAUUUGGAUUCAGCUACUAGUCUGGCCAGCUUCUGUUGUGGGUGGCACGUUGUCCUUUGCCUCAGGCAGCAAAAUGUCUCCCACUGUGCUCAGUGGAGCUUAUUCCUAAGUAAGCAUGCAUAGGACUGCAGCUUUACUUUAUUUGAAGAAUGAAACUAUAAGCCAUAUAGCUGUUAAAGUGUGUUGUGCUUCCAGGCAGUAUUAUAUAGGAGUGGUGAAGCUCUGUUCCCAGUUUUGGAAACUGAUGAACUCUGAAUGUGCUACAGUCACAAAUUAUUCAAAUAUCCUCUAGCUAUUGGGGACAAUGUGUACAUUUCUCAAGCACAUACAUUCAUUGUAUUUGCUGGUUCUCAAUCUUGGCUGAAAAUUAUUAUCCAUUUUGUCAAAGGCGGAGUUCUAUGUAAGUCAAAGGCUUGCAUAAUCUUACACUAAAUUGAUUUGCUUAAGAGAUAAUUUUAGCUAUUUUCUAUCAAGCGUAUUUGGAAAUAGUUGUACUGCUUUAUGACAGGUGUGCAGAUGCUAGCCAUCCUAUUGGGGGGGGGGAGUUCUGUACAAACAGAAAACUGCAGGAAGCCUUGAGCAAACUAGCAAACCCAAUUUCAGUUUCUUAUUGAAAUUCCCUUUCCCCACAACUCACUGAAACAGGUAAAUAUUACGGUGGAUAAACUGCUUAAAAAUGUUAAUCAAAUAACUGCAGUGAAUAACCAGAUCUCUAGUCAGGAAAAACCCAAGUAUGAAGUGCACUAAAGCAAUCCUUCUUUCCUUCUUUAUCUUGUCUUUGUUGAUGGUUACAAAGAACGAUAUGACAUGAGCUGAAACUUAUUGGUAAACUUCUAAAAAUGGGUAGGACCCAGACUUCACCUUCCAUGGAUGGGAAAGAAGGAUCCCAUUGCCAAAGAGAGAAUGGAUACAAAGGGAGGAACAAUCAUCUCUUCCUCCAUGGAUGGAUGCAUCAUCCUUUGAGAGGAACUCGGUUAAGGGAUGCUCCAGUUGGUGGAAGGGAAAUCUGGAUCCAACCCAAUGGGAGGAAUUCAGCUUGGCACUAUGUCCAAAGGUUAGCAUUUCAGCUUGCAAGGUGGAAUGAUCCCCUUUUCUCCCCCCCCCCCACUGUUCUGGGGGUUUUCCUGACCGUCUCAAGCCAAUUUGGGAGCAUGGGGGCACAUGUGAGUGAAGAUGGGGGAAGGGAAAUGUCCUUGCAUGAGCUUCUGCUAGUGAGACUCAUUAGUUGAAUCCGGUCCAAUGUUUCUAACUGUAGUGAACUGAACCUCCAUUUCUUUUCCAUUUUCUUCCCCUCACGCUUUAAAUUCAGGAAACUUUUGAUCAACAGGCAAAUUACACAUGAUUUAAGAUUAUUUUUCCUGAAUACAGUGGUACCUUGGUUUUCAAGCUUAAUCCAUUCCAGAAGUCUGUUCCAAAACCAAAGCGUUCCAAAACCAAGGCAUGCUUUCCCAUAGAAAGUAAUGCAAAAUGGAUUAAUGCAUUCCAGACUUUUAAAAAUAACCCCUAAAACACCAGUUUAACAUGAAUUUUACUAUCUAACGAGACCACUGAUCCAUAAAAUGAAAGCAAUAAUCAAUGUACUAUACUAUAAAACAAGUAAAACAGUAUUGUAGAUGAUAAAAGUUAAAAUUAAAGCAAUUUCUUACCUGCACUGAUGAUAGUCAUUGUUUGGAUGGGGGCUUUUAUCCAUUUCCGCAGUCACACAAUCAAUCAAUCAAUCAAUCAAUUGAUCAAUCAAAUUAACUGAAAAAGCCUCAAAACCAAAAACGCAAAAUAAAUAGCAAAAACAAAAACACCAAAUAUAAGCUCCAAAUAUCACCUCCGAACACUGCAAUCAGAAACGGAAGGCUUGAAUUACAAUGGGGGGAUGCAAAUUAGCAGUGCAACAGGAAACACAAAAACUGAGGUACCACUGUAAACCCCGUUUAAGCAGGGAGGGAAUUCCAGGGCAAGGCUAUUCACACCAACACCCUCUCCACUUCUUCUACUGCUCCUCCUUUCAUCUGACUGCUAGCUCUUCCAGGGAAAUUCUGACUACCCUUCACCCCGUCCUCUCAAGUACUGUAUGAGAUAAUGAGCAUGCUAGUGAGGAUAGCAGUGUCUACCAGAGGCCAAAGUGAACAGCCACAGGUAUCCAAAGUGUACCUCUUUAACCUCUCCCAAUUUGUGUCUUAUCUGGGUCAGAAACCAAAGUGCUAACCCACAAUUUCCCAUUAAUUUCUGCUCCGAAUUCCAAUAAUACCGUGGGUGAAUAGGGCUUCUAUUUUGGCGGAAAUACAUUUUGCUUACAUAGGGCCCUUCUGUGAGCCCCUAACUCUAUGAUCUUUCACUUUUAUUUGAUAUCUGCAAAUCCACAGCUUGGCAGAAGAAUGCACAUUACUUUCUCAGUUUAGCAAGGAUCGCUGUAACCAAGAGUAUUUUCAUAUUACACCAAAAAGUGCCUUUUGACUUUUUCAUGGUUUUUAUCCCAUCUGUGAUUGUUGUUAUUGAGGUGGAAUCUAGACACAUAUUUUUUAAAAGUCGUGAAAAUGCUUUUUAAAAAAAUGUUUUGAAAAAUAUAUUGAAUAUGCCAUAGCUCAUCAUCCCCAUCUAGUGUCACAUUUGUAUAAUGCACUUUAAAACAUUUUAUUUGCAGCUGUAUAGCUGAGUCCUAGGUGAGAAUGUUUGGAAGAGAUAUUUAAUUACAAGGCAGCCAGUUUAGACUACACAACAGUUUACUGAUAUAAACCAAAUUCAAACAUGUUGAUAAUAAUCAGAGAAACUGAUAACAGAGAAAGUUAUACUGUCAUAGUUUAGGGCUCAUCCAUAUGGCAGUUUAACAUGAAUUUGAAGCCAUAAGUGCCUUAAAUAUUUGUACUUUGUCCACUUGAUUCUCUCCCCAUUCAGCAGGCAGCCUGCAGUUUCUCAACAGUAAAUGUGGAUUUUUUAAAUUCUGGAAAAAUCCGUAUUGGGGGACUAAAUACAAUAUAAAAUUCCUUGUUACCCAACUGUGGAUGCACUGUGUGGACAGGUUCUCUGGCAACAUCUCCUACUUAGCCCUUCAGACUGUAUUUUAAAAUGUUGAUUCUUAUUUUACAUUGUUUAGAUGGAGCUGUUUACCAACAUUGUUUACCAACCCUGGAUGAGAUCUUCACGUCUCGCACUUUGAAGAAGUCACACAAUAUCCUGAGAGAUCCCACCCAUCCUGCUCACAACUUCUUUGAACUGUUGCCUUCGGGCAGAAGAUAUAGGACAAUGAAAACACGAACCACACGCCUUCUGAAUAGUUUCUAUCCAAGAGCUCUGAUUGCACUAAAUAAUGAUCUCAGGGCCAGUUGCAAGGAAUAGCAAGCAGGGAGUAGGAAGGAAUGAGACAGGUUUUUAGGUUAUGUUAUGCUUUUAAUAGGUUAUGUUACAUUCUGGAGUAUGAUAUGUUUUUAUAGAUUAUGUCUGAAUAGGAUGAGAGUGUUGGAGAUACGUGCAAAUGUGUAUGUGAACCCGGUCUUCGAGUGGGUGUUUGAUUUUCGUUGUUGUGUAUACUGUGUAUAUACGGACAAUGACAAUAAAUUUAUCUAUCUGUUUCAUUGUGAAACACCUAGAUUUACUUUUUUAAUUAGAUGAUACAACUGCUACUAAAUAAACAAGUUGUAAUUUGUUUUGUGAAUUAAACUCAUAAAAUAAUCUGUUAAUUAUAAAAGGGUACCUGAUCUUUCUCAGAGUCUUUGAAAUUCAUUGCAACUAUUCAUUCUUUACAAUUGAUUUGACUUUGAGUUUCACUUGCAAUGUGUUUCUUCAAGGACUCAAAGGAGGAAAUAAAAACAGGUUAAUGUAUCUUUAAUUACUGUGAUAAAGGCCCAUAUUAUGAACCUCCCAAGAUGAGGCUGCCAAGAUAUUGCCUCUGGCCAUGGCAGAAAACUGCCCCAGAGAACUUCCCAAGAAUAAAGUCAAUUGCCCUCCUACAUAUUAACCUCUGGGAUUGUAGGAAAUGGUUGACCCAAGCCAACAAGAGUCUGCCUACAAGAGCUGUGACUGAGCUGCAGAAACAGAAAUUAGAAAGCCACAGGACAACAAGGAGCAUUAAAGUAGCAGAGGAACAUGCAUGAAACAGAAACAUGCAUCAGAUUUAUACCUGAAUUUCGAACAAUUACUUUUCCCCUGUAUCCAGUAGUACUUACCCCCAGAGUGGGAGGACACUUUUGGUACAUGCUGCUUAGCCGGAUCCCCAAGAGACUAGGUCUCUCAGAGAUUCCUCAGAAGAGGCCCUUCAUUUGCUACCCAACUCUCUCAGAAAACAUUAAAUUGAUCCCACUCAGUCCACACAAGGACUUUGUUUUUCCAUGUCAUGGAUCUUAUGAGGAAGUGCUUUAGCUCAGUUAUAGGCUUCGUCUAAAUUCUUGUUUGGCUUUUAUUCUUAUCAGUCUCAUUUACAGGGAUGGCUUUCUUUAAGAAUGCCACCAGCAGCUAAUGUUUCCUCCUAGGUUAUAUGAAAAAAACAGUUUCGCAGAAGACAAAUUUUGUGUGAAAAGGGACUCCAGUUCAGUCCCUGACAUCUCCCUUUACAUACCCUCCAAGUGUCCCGAUUUUCCAGGGACAGUCUCGUUAUUACAAAAAGCCAUCCUGGUUUCUGAUUGGAUCCUGGAAUGUCCCUAUUUCCCUUGCCCGCACCACUGCCUAGCUUGGGGAGGAGGAUGAGCUAGCGCUUGUCCUGAGCAACGACAAUGGCAGCAGCUGUGACUUAAAGGAGCAUCCUUUUGCCUCUCCACUGCCACUGGCCUCCUCCCUUAUCAGUGUGCGUCUUUCUUUUUGCAAAUCUACCAAAGAAUAAAAUAAAAUCGGGAUUAAUGGGUUUUCUCAGGACGUUGGAGGAUGUGCACGUUGCGUCCUGUUGCCUUAGUGGUGGUGGCACUCGCCCUUUUUCUGAGAGGAAAUGCUCUGUCUGGGGCAGGCGACACAAAAAAUGUGAGGUCUAGGAGGAUCAGUUUGAGGGGAUGGGGGCAGAGUGGGAAGUGUCCCUAUUUUCAUCUGAGGAAUGUUGGAGCAUAUUCAGUUAGAGAUGGAAAAGACAGCUAAUGCCAGUCAGCGGAGCCAGUUCUGAGGCAAUGUGAUAAGGCAGCUUCCUGGGAUACAAAGGGCAGCUUCCAGACAAAAAACAUUUUCAAGCAUCUUGUUCGGUUUUCAGAUCAGAUUACCAACGAAGAGUGCAAAAUAAAUUAUAAAGCUGCUGCCAAGCUGGAUGAUAAUGAAGUCAUUGCAACUGCUAAAAUGUCAUUAUUUGAAAUCACAUGUUGCAGACAUCUCAAGUGGAUAGGGAACUGCCUUUCUCGGCCUGGUCGUUCCACUUGGGCCCUGUCACUCUAAGAACCGCAGCCUGCCCAAUCAAGGCCUUGUCUUAUGUUUUUACCCAAACACUAAAUGAGCUCCAUUACGAGGGUGGGUAAUGGCUCCUGGGAAGCAGCGUUUGCUCUGGGGUCAGCUGCCCCAGGGACAGAGACAGACACAAAGCAGCCUGGUGAAUAAAACUCAUCCAUUCCUCCCUACCUCCCACCCAGCCAGCCACCCCCACUCCCCCUCUGUAACCUCUAAAAAGAAGCUGCUUUGGAGUCUCCUCUCAUUUGCAUGGGGAGAUUUAAUUUCCAUCCCUUAAAUAUGACGAAUUGCUGAGAUUUCCUUCAGUUAAUGCUUUUAACAGCUCCCAAUAAACUUCAUUAAUCAGUCCAGCUCUAGGCCCAACGUGCAGCCUGGAAGCAGCUAAUUUGCCUGAUGAGCCUGAGACUUUAGUGAAUAAACAGGUGGAUAAGCUGAGGGUUUUAUGGCCUUAAUUACACUCUAAUCAGUUCAACGCUUGGCGGGCAAAAAGGAAAGAGGGAAGAAGGAGGCAGCAUGAUCAGCCAUCCCUUCAUUAUUAUUAUUUUUUCAACUGGUGCCUCAUUUCUUCCACCAUCCUCAUCUUCUCCCGAUUUUCUGAUAGAAAAGGCAGGAAAAGGGGAGUGAAGUGAAACAGGGACAUGUGUUUCUAAGGUUUUAGGAUAACCGACAAGAUGUCUUUAAGCCGCCCUUCUACAAUCUCUUAGUAACGCAACCUCUGUUGCCUUUUCCUCUGCAUUUCUUUCACAUUUCCUCUUUCUUUUCUUAUUCAUUCCUCAGUCUUUGCAAAUUUACAAGAGGUCUUUGGGCUUCCUGGUUACAUAGAUCCAUGUCAUAGGACAGGGAAUUAUGUGGCCCUUCAGACCCUGUUGGACUACAUUUCCUAUCAGCUGCAGCCAGCAUGGCCAGCUGUUAGGGAUGAUGGGAAUUGUAGUUGAACAGCAUAUGCAGGGCUGUGGAUUCCACAGGACAACAAGGCAUUUAUUUUAGAAUAGGACAGGAUCUACAUAACAGAUUUCACAGCUGUGUUCGAUGCCUUGAAGUUUGGAAAUGCUUUUCCCUACUCAUUGCCCCAGUUUUGUGUGGCUCUACCAUUCAGCAGACUGAGGUGUCCACCUCAGCAGCCAAUUUUGGGCAGUCAUGAAAGGGCAGCAAAUUGUUGUUGUUAUUAUUAUUAUAUUUUGAAUUCCAUUGUGCGGUACUUGUGGGAGUUUAUGUCUCAGGUGCCAAAUAACUUGGCCAGUCUUGGAUAUUAUACACCCUCAGUUGGGUAGAGAGCUACAAUCUGCUAUUCAACCUCAGGCAUCAAAGCAUUAUGGCCCAGCACUGAUGCAGCUAAAUUUAGACACUGCUUUCUCAAUCCAGCAAUGUUCCCAACUCUAAUAUUAUCUGGAAGCUUUGUACUCAAGGGUGAUGUGCAACCCCAAAAUCCAUGGGAUAGUUUUAGUUAAACAAUGGUCAGGGAAAGGAAUAUGGGAAUUACUGUAGAACAGUGGUUAAGAGUGUUAAACAAGGACCAGGGAGACCUGGGUUCAAAUCCCCCCUCAGACAUAAAGUAGCUAGAGGAAAAGGGGACAGAGUGUGAAGAAAGAGCUAUGAGUGGAGGGGGCCCCUCUUCCCAUCCUUUGGACCCCUUGGGAAACUCAACAAACCUGUUGCACCUGGAACUGGCUGUGGCAAAUGCAGAUGAAUGAGACCCAGCUGUGGGCAACCUGAGGAAGUACCAUCCACCUUGGGUCUGCCCAUAAAAAGCAAGUCUAGAGUGAGAGACUAAGGGUGGAUCUACACACAAGAAAAAAAAUACUAUAAAUAAGUCAGAAAUUAAAUCAUUUAUAACAAAAGAAAAGAAAACCCUAUGUAAAAAUCGCAUAGAAAAUUUGUUUGCUCUCUGGCGCCAUCUGGUGUUGCAUGUUUAUAACACAUUCAAAGUGUUGUUGUUUGACUAAUGUAGCUGAGUCCUAAAGUUGAUAUCCACCCUUUCCAGGAGACUUUUGUGGGUGAGCUGAGAGUUUGUUUGUAACCUGGAGGCUAAGAAGGAAGGAGUAUGAAUUGACAUAGACAGAUGGAUAGAUUAGUAACUUUGUAUUAAUGUAACAUGUUUAUACACAAAGGUGUAUUUUUGUAAUAUUUUGUUUAAGUUGUCUGUUGUUGCUUCAGUUUUUUGUAUACUGCUUAGAGAUACAGUGGUACCUCGGGUUACAUACGCUUCAGGUUACAUAUGCUUUAGGUUACAGACUCCUCUAACGCAGAAAUAGUACCUCGGGUUAAGAACUUUGCUUCAGGGUGAGAAAAGAAAGGCAGCAGCAGGUGGCCCCAUUAGCUAAAGUGGUGCUUCAGGUUAAGAACGGACCUCCGGAACAAAUUAAGUACUUAACCCGAGGUACCACUGUAUUUUUAAUAUAUUUAAGUGGUAGAGAAAUUAAAUAAUGAAUCACUGGAUGACCUUGGGCAAAUCUCUAUCUCUUAGCCUAAACUACCUCACAAGGUUGCUGUGAGGUGGAAAUAGGGACGUGGGAAAAUAAUUUUGUAAGCUGCCUUGAACUCCUUGGACCAAAUGCAAGAUAUAACUUUAGUAAAUAAACAUAGGCUCAAAGAUACUCUCUUACACACUGAGUUUUAACACGUUCCAGAGCUCAAUCCUGCCUAGUGCGUAUUUACCUCAUAUUAAGUCCUGGACACCAAGUCUGCACAUUGGGAUGCCAUAUUCCUGAGGGUGCUUAUAUUCAUGGCACCAAAUGUAUUUUUUAAAAAAUAAAUAUUUUAUUAAGACUUUUCAUAAUAUAUUACAAUAAAAAAUAAAAUAAACAAAAACAAAGAAUUGAGAGAGAGAGCAACAAAUGUACACCAAAUGUACUUCUGACUUCCCCUUGUACUAUUGCACACAUGUAAUUACUAGCCAUCACAGGGAGACUGAUGAAGGAAGGGGGGGUAUACAAGCCUCUCAAAUAAAUAAUAACAGAAGAACAACUAAAAUGUUGUUAAUACAGGCUGGUAACAGGACACUCCCCCCCCCCCAAAUGAGUAUGCAUUCACUGUAGCUGCCAUUGACACGGGAAAUGCAACUCCCCUUUUAAGAGCAUGUGCUGGGAGAGCUGUUUGAUUCAGGUAGGCUUGCUGAAUCGGCAGAAUGUCAGGGGAAACCUGGAUGCAUGGCAACGUGAUGGAAAAAGCAGUAGAAACAGCUCAAAAACUAUUUUGGGGUCUAGGUUUCCCCUAACAGAGCUCAACAAUUUGGGUUUGCUCCCCCCCCCCAAAAAAAAACCACCUCCACAACUUGGCAAGCGACAGGAAUUUCCCUUUUUGAAAUAUGGCAACCCUAGUCUGAGGGCCUUGUGCUUGCUGCGCACGGUCUGCCACUUCCAGGAACCAGGAGCGACGUUUCCAAACAAGGGCCAUCAUCCCUCAAGCUAAAAGGGCUCGGCUGCUGUGCUUCCGCAAUAAUGCACCGCACCCUUUGCCACCCUCCUCUUUUCCCGGUUGCCUGGCCUCCCCGAGUGCCCUUCACCUUUCCCUUUGCCCCGCUUUGGCGACCUUCUCUGCCCCUGGCUUCCAGGUCCCGCUUCCCUCCCACCACAUCGCCUCCCUGUCACGGCUAGGCCGCUUGACAAAUCACUUCAAGGGCAGCCUAACUUCGAAGGACAAGACAAAGCUUUAGCAUAUGGUCCAAUCCCCAGAUGUUUGUCUUGCGCUCGCGCUCGCGCUCUCCCUCCUCCCCGCUCCUCUCCCUCAUAAGAAGGGGCUACUUGGGAAGCUCAGCCUUCCUUCUUUUUUCCUUUCUCCCCUCAGGUUUUUGUCGGGGGGUCGCUAACUAGCAGCUUGAGCGGCUGGUCUCUUUAUAGCCCGAGAAGCGAGGGAGGAAAGAGACUGGGGAAGCAAGGAGGAGAAGAAGAAGGGGAGCUUUUGUGGAAUGUAAUGAUAUUUUUUACAGCCCUGGCUGAGGGGAAGUCUCAGAGCUGUUAACGCAGGUGCCACGGGGGCACUCCUCACCGCACACUGCUAGGCCGCGGAUGGCGGGAAAGACGAGUGUCGCCUCUGUGAUAGGAAUUUUGAGACCUCCGCUCUCUUUUGGCAUUGGCAAUAACACCCAUGGUCGGGGCUUUAAGCCACGAGGCAAAGUUCAGUGCUAGGAAAGGCAGCCGGGCUGUGUGUGUGUGUGUUAAGUAGAGGAGUUAUUUUCCUGAGCUUAGAAAGACAAGCCUGCUGGGCGUCCUUCCUUUGCUUUCAGCUGCAGACCGAGGUCCGUUGCAAAUAAAUAAGCUCCGGGCAGACAAGGGAAUGAAUGCUUCUGCUGCAGAGAAAGGAGAAGAUUGCAGGCUUCAUUCUGCAGCUGCUUGGAGAGAAUAGAAGGAGCAAGGGCAGAGGCCGCAGCCGGCAUCCUCUGGUAUAUAUAUAUUCAGAGCGCCUUCCUUGCGUGCAGGAGAGGCACACGUACCAAGCUAGUUUCCUUUUGGCUGAUCAGUGUCUCUCCCCCCCCCCCCCCCAAUUGCUCUUGAUAAAGUUGUAAAGGGAGGGAAAUAGCACCCACCCACACAACUGCAAGUGACGCUCUUCCCCGACGUCUUUGUUCAUUGUGAUUUCAGAGAAACGAGGAUGAGAAAAUUUGUGGAAGGGGGUGCAAAAUACUGCAGAACGUCUAGCCCACAUGUCCCUAAGUUUUAAUCUUCAGUUGCAGCAGUGCGCACUCCUAGUAUGCAUUCCACUGAGCACCAGCUGAUUCCUUGCUCAAGAAACAAUGACCUGCUUUUUGCAAAGGCAUUCAGCCAAAAGCAAGGGGUGGUGGGAAUGUGUGAAAGAAGACAUUUGGCAAGCAUCUUUAACAAUGAAAAACUAAGGGGUUGGGGUUCUUUCAGUUAAGUGUAGCCUAUUGAAAAAAAUGGUAGAGUUUCCUGGAGGGUACAAUCGCUUUUGUUCUCACAUAAGCUAUGAAGCAAAUGAUUUCCAACACUGUUUGAGAUGAAAAUACUUAACAGGGGAAUGUUGAGGUAAUAAAAGAUGCACUGAAACUUUUUAAAAAAAGAAGUUACUAAGAAAAUGGGAGCGAACCCUGAAAUAACAAGGUCCCUGAUUCCCAAAUUUUAGAUUUGAAAUCUACCUGUUUUUUAUUAUACCCCUUCUAUUAGGUGAUUGUUUUUAUUACGAUGAUCAUAGACUGCAGAUUUGCAUGUAAUCUACUUCUUGAAUAGUUUCAGAAUUUGAUUGAAUUACAAACAGCAAACUCAAUUUAUACAUGAUCGAUGCGGGAUAUUAAUUAGAUUCCACCAAUUUAUCCCCAUAAAGACGACACGGCAUUAAGCACAAUUAAAUUCCCAGUGUUCUUUUAUGGCAUAGAUUGUAACGUGUUCUGCUUAUACGAUUUUUAAAAGAAAAGAAAAAUCCAG
RNAcentral lists this long non-coding RNA (43352 nucleotides) under Podarcis lilfordi (Lilford's wall lizard). The record is from RNAcentral. Lineage: Eukaryota; Metazoa; Chordata; Lepidosauria; Squamata; Lacertidae.